Molecule: ribosomal RNA, 490 nt
Filed under: uncultured bacterium
Lineage: Bacteria
Description: partial 16S ribosomal RNA
Rfam family: Bacterial small subunit ribosomal RNA
Source: RNAcentral
AUUGAACGCUGGCGGCAUGCUUUACACAUGCAAGUCGGACGGCAGCGGGGUAGUGCUUGCACUACUGCCGGCGAGUGGCGAACGGGUGAGUAAUAUAUUGGAACGUACCGAGUAAUGGGGGAUAACCAAUCGAAAGAUUGGCUAAUACCGCAUACGCUCUGAGGAGGAAAGCAGGGGACCUUCGGGCCUUGCGUUAUUCGAGCUGCCAAUAUCUGAUUAGCUAGUUGGUGGGGUAAGGGCCUACCAAGGCGACGAUCAGUAGCGGGUCUGAGAGGAUGAUCCGCCACACUGGGACUGAGACACGGCCCAGACUCCUACGGGAGGCAGCAGUGGGGAAUUUUGGACAAUGGGCGCAAGCCUGAUCCAGCCAUGCCGCGUGUCUGAAGAAGGCCUUCGGGUUGUAAAGGACUUUUGUUAGGGAAGAAAAAGGAGCGGUUAAUACCCGUUUCUGCUGACGGUACCUAAAGAAUAAGCACCGGCUAACUACGUG